AACGAACGCUGGCGGCAUGCCUAACACAUGCAAGUCGAACGAGACCUUCGGGUCUAGUGGCGCACGGGUGCGUAACGCGUGGGAAUCUGCCCUUUGCUUCGGAAUAACAGUUAGAAAUGACUGCUAAUACCGGAUGAUGUCUUCGGACCAAAGAUUUAUCGGCAAAGGAUGAGCCCGCGUAGGAUUAGGUAGUUGGUGGGGUAAAGGCCUACCAAGCCGACGAUCCUUAGCUGGUCUGAGAGGAUGAUCAGCCACACUGGGACUGAGACACGGCCCAGACUCCUACGGGAGGCAGCAGUGGGGAAUAUUGGACAAUGGGCGCAAGCCUGAUCCAGCAAUGCCGCGUGAGUGAUGAUGGCCUUCGGUCGUAAGCUCUUUACCUAGGAGUGAUAAUAGACAGUACCUGGAGAAUAAGACUCCGGC
Molecule: ribosomal RNA, 423 nt
Filed under: uncultured bacterium
Lineage: Bacteria
Description: bacterial SSU rRNA
Rfam family: Bacterial small subunit ribosomal RNA
Source: RNAcentral